Molecule: long non-coding RNA, 2114 nt
Organism: Pipra filicauda (Wire-tailed manakin)
Lineage: Eukaryota; Metazoa; Chordata; Aves; Passeriformes; Pipridae
Exons: 2
Source: RefSeq, a predicted model, not a curated record
UGCCCAGAGAGGGUGUAGAGUCUUCCCUCACUGGAGAUACUCCAGAGCCAUCUGGACACAAUCCUGUGCCAGGUGCUCCGGGGUGACAUUGCUUGGGCAGGGAGGUUGGACCAGGUGACCCACUGUGAUCCCUUCCAACCUAACCCAUUGUGUGAUUCUGUGACAGACAUGAUCUCUGCAUCUGUUUGACAGCCAGAAACCCUUACUCUGGCUUGUCCCAGUGCCUUCCUGGCCCGAGCAGCCCCUGGUGACAUCCUUCCCAGCAGGAUGUCCCACAGGCACACGGCUCCUCAGGCUGUGCCACCUCAUGCUCAGCAGUGUGGGCUCGGGUCAGGCUGUGGGUCAGGCUGUGGGUCAGGCUGGCUGGCAGUGCCUGUGCCGGCCGGGAAUGGGAAGGAGGCCCUGGCACCACACAGCCUGCAGGCAGCACGAGGCAGGGCCGGGAGCUGGGAUCUCACCCGCCGUGUGCGAGCUGUGGCAACCAGUCGGACACAUCUCCCCAUCAAAAUGGCUCCCUGUUAUUAGGUGCUGCUGCCGUGCCCUGUGCUGUGGCUGGGAUCCCUGGCUAGGCAGGAUUCCAUCGUUUAAGGGCAAGCAGAACAAAAUGUCUCUCCUUGUCCUGAAGGAGUCUGCAAUCAUCAACGUGAUUUGCCUAAUUUUUAAAGACAGGGAUGUGCCCAAGAGUCUCUGUGGCAGAGAAGUUGAGGCUUAUAUGGGAGGGACUGUUCCCAAGGUCGAUGUGCAUGUCUGGCAAAGCUUGGAUGAAAGCCUGGGAGCUCUCUCUGCCAGGCUUUGAUGCCCAGAGUCCUUGCCUCUAAUCUUUGCCAUCUAUGCAGACAAUAUCAGAGCUAUCAAAUAAUUCCACCACAAUGUGAGCCUUUAAAAAAAAAAAAAAGUCUGCUAGGAGAAGUACACAGCAAUGCCCUCAGAUAAAAGUUAAAAAUUGGAUGAAGCCAAAUGUGUUAUUAUGAUUUUUGGCUUACCAGGUUAAGCUUACGCAGACUGGGCUGGGAAAACAUUUUGUAUUGGUACCAUGAAACCAUUGCAGGAAAUACCAGGAGAUAUCAGGAAACAGCAGGGUUUGUGGAGGCUGCUGUUACAGGCAGGGCUUGAAUCCUUCCAUCAGUUUCUAUCUGGUGUCUCCAAGGCUUUGAGACAUUGCUGGAGAUGGGCUGGGAUUUUUGCUUUCUGUUUCUCAGUUUGUUAGGAAAGAGCUCGGCCUGUUAAAUAUUUGACAUUUGCCAAGCUGGGAGGCUCAAAUACUGAAGGCAUCUGAAGAAUCCAGCCCAGUUCUCACACCUCUCAUGCCCCAGCUACUGCUGACAGACACGUGGAUGCUCCGCUUCCAUCCCUAGGUCCAAUCCAGUCACCAUCUGUGUGUGAUCAAGGUGCUCUGAUACACAUGGAUUCUGCUCACCCCAGACUCCCACAGUGUGGAUUUCUCCUCCAGGCUCAUGCACACCUCAGCUCUGCUCCAUGACCCUCAGCCACAUCCCUGCCCUGUGCUCUCCCUGACCUGAGCCUUUCCAGGUGCAGCUCCCCUGUGCCGCCACCACUUCCUCAACUUUUGCUGGCUCAGGGCAUCGUCUUAUCAGUCUGGGAUAUUUUUAUCAGUCUGGGCUCUGCAGUUCAGUCUGGGCCUCACCUCUGCUCUCCUGGAGAGGUUUUCCUGGCUGGCCGGGGCUGGGAUCUCGAUGCUCUGUGAGUGAGCACGAGCAAAAGUGGCUUGUCUUACCUCCUCCCUCCCCGCUUUGAGGACAGAGAUAAAACAGCAGGGGAGAAACAAGGCGAGAUAAAUUCAGAAAACUCGGUGAGGUGAAGUGAGGUAGAUUCUGUAAUGCACUUCGUGAGCCAUCACAUCCUAUCAUCCCAGGGGAAUCCCAGAUACACGAGCCCUGCAAUCUACAUCAUCAGCAUCUUCCUUUGGAAAGCAUCAUCACGCUAAUUCGUUUCUCCUGGCAGCCAAAUGAUUAAAGUUUUAAAACUAAAUUACACACGUUGCUGUAACAGCAAAAACACAGUAAUGGCUCUCCUCUGUUCCACCUGUCGCCUCUGCUGUAAUGGCCUUAAUGAGCUUUCAGCUUCAUCAUCGAAAAUAAGAGAUUAUCACAUGA